This 253-nucleotide ribosomal RNA is filed under the name uncultured bacterium. RNAcentral describes it as "partial 16S ribosomal RNA". It matches the Rfam family "Bacterial small subunit ribosomal RNA", at positions 524 to 776 of the family's 1533-position model. The record is from RNAcentral.
UACAGAGGGGGCAAGCGUUGUUCGGAAUUACUGGGCGUAAAGGGCGCGUAGGCGGCCUGUUAAGUCGAACGUGAAAUCCCCGGGCUCAACCCGGGAACUGCGUCCGAUACUGGCAGGCUUGAAUCCGGGAGAGGGAUGCGGAAUUCCAGGUGUAGCGGUGAAAUGCGUAGAUAUCUGGAGGAACACCGGUAGCGAAGGCGGCAUCCUGGACCGGUAUUGACGCUGAGGCGCGAAAGCCAGGGGAGCAAACGGG